GGAAGAUUGGCUGAGUGGUUUUAAAGCAAAAGAUUGCUAAUCUUUGACAAUUAUUUGUCUCAUGGGUUCGAAUCCCAUAUCUUCCG
This 86-nucleotide transfer RNA is filed under the name Blastocladiella emersonii. Its description in RNAcentral is "tRNA-Ser". It matches the Rfam family "tRNA". Rfam says of the family: Transfer RNA (tRNA) molecules are approximately 80 nucleotides in length. Their secondary structure includes four short double-helical elements and three loops (D, anti-codon, and T loops). Lineage: Eukaryota; Fungi; Blastocladiomycota; Blastocladiomycetes; Blastocladiales; Blastocladiaceae. The record is from RNAcentral.